GACGAACGCUGGCGGCGUGCUUAACACAUGCAAGUCGAACGGAAAGGCCCUGCUUUUGUGGGGUGCUCGAGUGGCGAACGGGUGAGUAACACGUGAGUAACCUGCCCUUGACUUUGGGAUAACUUCAGGAAACUGGGGCUAAUACCGGAUAGGAGCUCCUGCUGCAUGGUGGGGGUUGGAAAGUUUCGGCGGUUGGGGAUGGACUCGCGGCUUGUCAGCUUGUUGGUGGGGUAGUGGCUUACCAAGGCUUUGACGGGUAGCCGGCCUGAGAGGGUGACCGGCCGCAUUGGGACUGAGAUACGGCCCAGACUCCUACGGGAGGCAGCAGUGGGGAAUAUUGCACAAUGGGCGGAAGCCUGAUGCAGCAACGCCGCGUGCGGGAUGACGGCCUUCGGGUUGUAAACCGCUUUCGCCUGUGACGAAGCGUGAGUGACGGUAAUGGGUAAAGAAGCACCGGCUAACUACGUG
This 468-nucleotide ribosomal RNA is filed under the name uncultured bacterium. RNAcentral describes it as "partial 16S ribosomal RNA". It matches the Rfam family "Bacterial small subunit ribosomal RNA", at positions 28 to 507 of the family's 1533-position model. The record is from RNAcentral.